RNA transcript from Mizuhopecten yessoensis (Yesso scallop), 9236 nucleotides. It is a transcript of the gene named cyclin-Y-like, with no coding region annotated. NCBI's taxonomy places the organism in Eukaryota, Metazoa, Mollusca, Bivalvia, Pectinida, Pectinidae. The transcript is spliced from 9 exons. The record is from RefSeq and is a predicted model, not a curated record.
AGACCUACUGCUUGUCGGUAUAUUGAUGUGUGAACGACUGGAAAGCCUUUAAUCCAUAAUUCAUUUAUCAACACAUGCGUAAUUUUAUACAUAACAACAUGCCAUAAACCAACAACAAGAUGAAGAUGUGCCGGUUGACCCCGAUAGUGACUCAACUAUUUCCUUAAAGGUCGAAGUUUCUUUGUGAUAACGGAUACAUCAUACAGCAGCAUCGCAUCCAUUCAUAUUUAACACUGACAUCAAUAUAGUUUCACGUGAAUGUGAGAUGACAUCUGAUAUGCUCUUACUGUAAUCUGUUUGAUUAAUUGUUGUAAUUGAUGAUGAUCUGAAACUGAUGUAAGGCAUCUUUUUCAACUGAGACGGUUGAGGAGCAUUUGCCUUGUAGAGAAAUCAACAUGGGGAACAAGCAAUCUUGUAGCUGCAUCUACAGCCCAAAAUCGAGAAAACCUGAGGAUGCAUACCGUCCAGCGGUAUCUGUUCGCAGUGAGGAGGUUGGAUUGGAAGCGAAGAACCAAAGUGUUUCUUCUCUACAUGGAGUACCUCACAUCAGUGAUCGAGAGAUCCUCCCAGAAGACAAUGUUGGCGAUCCAUCAAUCCACCCGCUGACAAAACCGAUAUUUUCCUCAAGGUCACAGAGUGAGAUAAAUAGAAACAACAGAAACAGAAGAAGGAGUCAAUACGACAACAGGAUCUUACAACUUCAGAACCCGCCACCCACGGCAAUGAAAAAGUUCAGCUCAUGUUCAACAAUAUUUAUAGACGAUUCCACUGUGAGCCAGCCCAACCUGAAGAAUACGAUCAAAGCUGUAGCGUAUGCCAUCUACUUUCAUAUAAAAAACCGGGAGAGUAAUCGCACCAUUGAGAUCUUUGAUGAAAAGCUCCAUCCCUUGUCUAGGGAAAUAGUUCCAGAGGACUAUGAUUCUCGAGACCCGGAACACAAGACGAUCUACCGAUUUGUAAGAAAUCUGUUCAGUGCGGCCCAGUUGACCGCGGAAUGUGCAAUAGUGACCUUGGUUUAUUUAGAACGACUCCUCCACUACGCGGAGAUUGGUAUUAUGCCAGCAAACUGGAAGAGGAUCGUGCUGGGAGCCAUCUUGUUGUCCUCCAAGGUGUGGGAUGAUCAAGCAGUAUGGAACGUCGACUACUGUCAAAUCCUCAAGGACCUUGCUGUGGAGGAUGUGAAUGAGUUGGAGCGUCAGUUCCUGGAGCUUUUACAGUUUAACAUCAAUGUACCAUCCAGUGUGUACGCCAAAUACUACUUUGAUCUGAGAGCUCUGGCCGACGCUAACGAGCUGAGCUUCCCACUGGAGCCCCUCAGCAAAGAAAGAGCAGAAAAACUGGAGGCUAUGUCCAACGACGGUACGAUAUCAACACUGUGGCAGAAACCAACUUUACUACGGUCCAACAGCCUUGACGGCAUGACAACGAAUCCCAGACUUAGUGUCGCCAUUCUGUCAUGACAGCUGCAGGGUCAAGGUCAUUGGAUGGGUGACAGCUGCAGGGUCAAGGUCAUUGGAUGGGAGACAGCUGCGGGGUCAAGGUUACGGAAUGGGUGAUAACUGCAGGGAUCACUGACCGGGUGAUAACUACACAGUUUACUGGAUGGGGGUGCUGUUGAUUCGGACCUCAAAUCAAAACAUUAGCUUUGUUGUCAGCAUAUCGUUACAGGAAUUAUAAUUUUGAUGAAUAUAUCUUUUUUUGCAAGAAAUACCUCACAAUUUUUUCUUGUGAGGUUUUUAUAUUCCUCGCGUAUCAGGAAUGAUUAUUUUCAUGAAUAUUUUUUUUUUUUCAAAAAUGUCUCUCACUAUUUUUUGUCAGUCCAAAUAUUCCUGAUUGUAAACAAAUUGGGAAGCAAUACAUGCAAUAAUGUACUUGAUCAGAUAUUUGUGAGGAAUCUGGCAAAGAGUUUUUUUUUUUAAGAAAUACGCUAAAAGUAAUACAGAAUUUGACCUAUUGACAUUUUUAUGCAUGUAAUAUGUAAAUGUAAAUGUUCUUUUUAUUUGGAAAUUCUUUGAAUUUAUUUUUCAGAUUCAACACAUUUUUCUAUACAAGUCCAAAGUUGAUAUACAUUAACAUAUUAUAUUUCAGCAAACUAAAAACUUAUGUGUCAAUUACAUGCAUCAACUAGUAACACUCCCUGACUGAUCAAGAUUUCCCAAUAAGCUGUGCAUGUUUGUGAGUCUUUGUUCUAUGUACUUAGUCUGAUAUAUGUAAUAAGUUGGACGCAUAAUUGUAAAAAAAACAGCUUGUUUAGUUAGUAGCAAUGUACAAACACUUUUUCAGUGUUGAAACAACUGUCUCCCAUGUCAAUCCCGUAAGAUAAUAUUAAUGUUUAUAUAUAUACAUAUAAAAUCAUGUACAUGUCAAAAAGAAGGGGUCAUAAUCAUAAUUGUUUUAUAUUUGUGGAUCAUGCCUUUUAUAAAAGGGUGUUAUGACCAGUAUGUCGAUCUGUGUCUCUGUAGUAAUCAUUUUUAUCCGAAUUGCUAUCAUUGGAGUUCAUCUUUUUAUACAUUGAUCAUUGUGAGGAUUCAUUUUCAUUGACAUAUUCUUUUCACAUUUAGGAUUAAAUUUAACCUAUGAUGAUAUUUCAUAAAUCAAAUUCUUAAAAUAAUGUUUGUUAUGAUACCAUGGACCGAUCCCACCUGUCGGAUGUAUAUUAGGAUAUUUUCACGUCGGCUUACCUGGAUAUUUUCACGUCGGCUUACCUGGAUAUUUUUACGUCGGCUUACCUGAUUAUUUUUUCCCCUCAGCUAUUUUUGUCAUUAAUUUCUCAUUCCUGUGCGGAUAUAAGAGAACAGUCCAGGGUGAGAAAGGUUGUAAGAAAUUUCCAUCUUGCACCCCGUAUCAUGUUUCGUAACAUCACCAUGGAACAACAAAGACAUGACGGCACAAAAUCAGAUAAUUCUGAAGCUGGAAUGCAGAAAUUGUGACGACUUUUUGUUGUUUCUAAAAAAAAUCCAUAAAUUGGAAAGAAAAGUUCCUCUUUCAUGCCUUGGGGUGUAGGAUUGGAAAAUUCCACUCUUUUGGAUUUUUUUAAAUUGGUGUAAAACCCUUGGCAAGCCUCAGGUUUUACCCAAUAUUAGAAAAACUCUUGGAUGGAAUGUCCCUAUCCUACACCCCUGGGCAUGACAAAGUCUCAUAAUUUUGCUUGACAGGAGCAGUGUUUAUACAGUGGAACUUUGUUGUUGACAUCACGGAAAUUUAAGAUGAAUCCGAUGAUGCUGUGUUGAGAUAAAAUGCAGUAGGACUUAAAGCGACUCAUAAUUAGAAAUCAGUUCAUAGGAAUUACACUGCUGUAGGAGUCCUUCUUUUAGCCUACACACCUUUUAGUGUAUUAUCUAUUAACAGAGUCGGGCAUUGAUGACAAACACAAAACAUGCAGUAGAAAACUGUAGUCAAACACUUCCAUUCGCGCAAUUAUAAUUUAGCCCAAUGUUUAAUGCGUGAAAAAACCGCUAAAAUAUGAAAAGUGCUAAAAUAUGUACAUUACAGUCUAAUAUUUACAGAACUUUAAAAAUUAAUGGGACAAUAGAAAUUUCUAUGCACAAACUUUUUCUGUGUUUAGGUAAUGGUACUUCAGAAAGUUUAGAUUUGAACAGAAAUCAUGAAUUAUUUCAGUUUUGGAAUAGAUUGGUUUUGGUACCUAUGCACCAAACCAUCAUGAGAAGCUAGUUUAAUACACGGGAGGGUAAAUGCUGUUGUGACAGUCUCCAGGUACAUAAUUGUAAUUAAUUAUUUAUAGGUUGUCAGUAUAACGUUGUCCUUAUCAAAAAUCAUUUGAAUGUCGGUAAGACAGGCCAGUGAUACACAUGUCAUGUAUUCAGUUUGACAAGUGUGUUAAGACCAGUGGGAUACCAAUGAAUUACCUCCCUUUGUCAAAAUGUUAGUUCAUUGGCUUUCCAUUGGUUCUGUCAAUUUAACCAUUUAGAACAGUUUCAUUGAAAAUCAUUCGUCAAAUGCCAUGAAAUGCAGCAUUUAAAACACUUAACAGUCACAGCUUGUCGUGGAACACUGAAACUAAACUCCCAAACCUGAUAUCUAGGGGUGGUUCAACCUAUGUUUCAGUAUUAGGGGGGGGGGUUAAAAAAAAAAAAAAAAAAAAAAAAAUUGCCAUACAUUGUUCUAUCUUCCUUAAGGAGAAACUCUGAUAAAAUCAAAAAUUAGAGAAAUGAUCUGUGAGGGGCAUUUUUUUUUUUAAAUUCAGUUAGUCUCCCCCAUCUUAUUCAACUGAUGUUGUGGGGGUUUUUUUUUUUGGGGGGGGGGCUCAAAUUAAGCAAAAAUAUUACUCUAUACGAGUAUUUCUGAUGACAGUUUAUAUUUCUUGUGAAUUCAAGAAAUUCAAUUUAAUUAAGUGACAAAUUGCUCGCGGCAAUUUUCAUCAUAUUGAAGUUUAUUUUCAUCCUUUGUUUCAGUACUACUUACUUUGUUUGACAAAUUAUUCAGAUAUUGAAAAAUUGUAUGAUUUAUUUAUGUUUAUGUAGUGAAUUAUUUCACAUUUCAAAAACAAGUACUUAAUAUUUAUUUUAACAGACAGUAUCCUUAUAGCUGGAUUAAUAAUGUAGCUUUUGUGUUCGCUGUGUUUGAUUAACUGUCAUCAUAUAUCCUUUCAAUUCUUGCCAAUUAAUUUUUGCUGCUCUUAUCCUCUGUUUAUUUAUGACUGUUACCCUUUUCCAAAGCAUAGCUAAAAUAUCAAAAUAUCGAUGCUGAAUGUGAAUCGUUGAAAAUUUCAACAUCUAUAAUUCAAUCAUUUAAAAAAGUUUGUUUUUAAAUACUUUUGUCAUAAUAUAUUUUUAUCAUAGAAUGAACAAGAAAUAAAAACAGUUAAUUUUGUAUUAUCAAUUGAUACCAAAAUAACCUUAUAAAAUGAUAAAAUAUUGACUAUCGAUCUUAGAAAUGGCAUUACAUGUGUCUUACAUUAUAACCUUAUUUUCUCCCUUUGUGGUAUAUAUUAGAAAAAAAAAGAGUUUUGGGUAUAAUGAUCUUAAAAAAAAUAACACAACAACAUAAAAUCUCGUCAAUGAUAUAGACGUCAACAAAUAUUGAGAAAUUUGUUAAACGAGGUUAUAAUGCUUCCUGAUAUUGUGUAAACACAACAAUUUUGUUGCCUUCUUGAAGAGUUCCAUGUUCUUAAGAUAAUUCUUCUGACAAUAUUAAAUUCCUCAUUUCAUGAUUUGUAAACUUUGGGAAGCAUUUGAUCUGUACACCCUGAGUCUUGUUUCUAAUCCGUGUUUGUUUUGGAAACUUCUCUCGAGUUAGAUUUGCCCGCUGUGUUCAGUAUAUCACACAGAGAUAUCAGCAUACCGACAUCCGACAUAAGUCUCUAGAAAUGUUCAAGCUUAUUUUCUUUGCAGCAGAAGAGUUUCCAGAGUUAAAUAUUUACAAAGAAUUGUACAACUCAAUAUCUUAGAGGCAAAUGGUCAUUGUCUUUCUUAAAUGGGGGGGGGGGAGAUAGUCUGAGACUCCAAAUAUCCAGAUGGACUAGUAGUUCUUAAAACCACUAGCCUGAUUGAAAAGUCAAAAUUUGAUGUUACUUUGUUGAAUAAUAUUGGGUUGGAGAAAUUGGAAAGUACUUGCCUGAAUGGCUAGUGGUUUUUAAAAUUAACUUGUAGCCCUUAAGAUUUACUAUGACUCUUCUGAUUUGCAUGCCUAGCAGUGAGGCUUCUUUUUAUACAAAUGACAGAGAAAAUGUACCAAUAUGAUUGAUUGGCUUUGAGAAGCUUAUUUUUAAAGAGAAAUCUUUUUUAAGAAGGCAGGUUGGGGAGUUUGUAGGCCACAUGUUAAUUGUGGGUAAUGUAUGUGAUCUUUUUGAGGAAGCUAGUCCUGGUACAUUCUGUACAUGUACUUAAUUGGAUAAUUACACGAAGACUAGGGUGUAAUGUCUUUUUAAUAUACUGUAUGUUGGCUAAUUUUUGUGGUACAUUUAGUUAUAUUUUCACAGUCAUAUUGUAGUAAUUGGAAACUUCUAAACAACACUUUCGCUAAAACAUAAAUUUUAGAAUAUGUUGCGAUACCCCCUUUUCAUUUAUGCAUGAAUUAAGCUUUUUUUUGCUUUGAGCUUUAAAAUACCAGGUAACACAUCGCUGAUUCAGCCCGUUAUACAGCAAAUAGAUAAAACCUGUCUAAACCAAACAUUGGACUUAUUUUUUCCUCAGAAUAUACAGGUAAAUUUAGAAGUAUAUAUAGCAGGAUAUAUAGUGGGACCUAUUUGCAGAUCUAGGUCAUUUCUGGAUUAGACAGGGUCCAUUUGAGACUGGCUUCAGGGAUUUAAAAAAAAAAAUGGCUUUGUAUUUAGUGUAAAUUUAUUGUAAGAUAAUGUAUAAACAAAAUGAUAGAAUAUCACUGUACAUUUACUGCUUUAUAGGAUUUACUUUAGAACAGCACUGCACAUUGAAGCUUUGUAAUGGAGAUGUUGAACGCUUGUGAUAGGUGUAAGAUUUCUGUGUUCUGAUUGGUUACUGAUAAAAUACGUAGUUACCGGCUGAUCCAAGAUCAUGCCCUCCCAGUCUGAUAAAAUAUGUAGUUACAGGCUGGUGGAAGGUCAUGCCCUCCCAGUCUGAUAAAAUAGGUAGUUACCGGCUGAUAGAAGGUCAUGCCCUCCCAGUCUGAUAAAAUACGUAGUUACAGGCUGAUCGAAGGUCAUGCCCUCCCAGUCUGUUAAGGUCAUGCCCUCCCAGUCUGAUAAAAUACGUAGUUACAGGCUGAUCGAAGGUCAUGCCCUCCCAGUCUGAUUAGGUCAUGCCCUCCCAGUCUGAUAAGGUCAUGCCCUCCGUCUGCAAGAUGGAGUCAUUGUGAUAUAAGUAUUUCUACACCUUUAUAUAUUAUCAUGUAUAAUAAUAUCUGUUAUGACGUAGGUGUAUGACUGGAAUAUUUUUAUAUUGUCAUGUAUUAUUGUGUAUUCUUGUGAAGGACCACUGUCAUCAGUAGAUAUUAUAUACACUGAAGACGCCCAGCAGUGUCAAAUGUCAAUGUUGAAAGUUGAUGUGCUUUUGGUGCUCAAUUGAACCACCAUUGCUGUCAGUUUGCUUAACAUCCAUACCUUAUUUCUCUGAGAAUUAAGUAAAUAUCCAUUUGUUUAAGAAGUUAUUGCAGUGUUAAGGAUAGAUAAACAUUUUCUUAAGAAAACAUUGAAAGUUUGAAAGUUAAGCUUAACAUCUUUUUCUAGAUAAAAGUCUGGAUUUCAGCCCGUCAUGUCAUGUAAACAACUACCUUUGUAUGGCCAUUGGUUAAAAGACAUCACUGGCAUAAGUAGUUGUAGCCAAUAAUUGGUCACUAUUUAUGAUUUUUGUCUAUCUUAAGAAUGAAACAACAUGUAAAGAACACUGCAGAUAUUACAAUCUGAAUUUGUGUGUUUUGAUACUUUUUCUGAAAAGAAAUUGAAAUCGGUGUUUGAGUUGAACGUCUUGUGUAAUAAAACACACAUGUACUUUUGCUAGUGAAAGACUACUUGCCUCCUACAUUAAGGAUGUAUGCUGCUCAACAUCCAACUCCUGUGAUUUGUGUGAGAGUAAUCUCCCCUUGCUCUGUUCGAGAAUCAUGGAUGUAUAAACUGUUAGGAUUUCAAACUUGUCACCAAUUAAUGAACAGGCUUCAAUUACUGUUGAUAAGACCUUUUAUACAUUUUCUAUUAUUUUGGAAUUCUUUUUGAUAAAAGUUGCUUUACAUGUGAUUAACUUGUGUAUGGUUGAGUACAGGAUUCCUAAAAUAGAUUCCUCGAAAUUAAGCAGAAAAAAGACUAAUAUAGUGAAUACACAUUUGAUUCCGGAGUUAUAAACCAGCAUAUUCUGAUAUAAUUGUCAAGUUUAGAAAAACAGUCUUUUUAUUAGGCAAUAAUAAAAUUGGAUGAGUUUAAUAAGAUUGAUGUGCAUCAUGAAGGAUUGUGUUGGUGAAGAACUGGAUACUUGAAUACUGUUGACCAAUGGUCAGUUUGUGAGUUAUAUUGACAUUUUUUGAUGCGAGGCAGUUGGUGUACAGUACAUGUAUGUUUCUCCCAAAGAUCUGAUCUGUUUUAUACUGUAUGCAAUUGUAUGAUCAAAAAACGGAAAUAGCAAUUUUCCUUUUGCUGGUAAUUCGACUCUUUUGCAGAUUUGUUCGUGACUGGCCUUCAGUGUUACAUUAGUCCGGAGAAGGACUGUAACAAGAAGCUGUAAUCCACUAAUAUCUACAAUUGUCUCCAGCAGUGCUUAAAAUGUUAAGAUUUUGAAUCUCUUUGUGAAUAUUUUUAAUGUGUAAUAAAUAUAUGAUGUCCGACCCACAGGGCGUGCGGAGAGGUGGUAUAAUGUAGAAAUUAAGUGGGAAGGUUGAUGUUUUUAAUCAUAUGCUCAGCCUUGUAACCUAUUAUAAGAUUAGAAACAUGCAUGCUCAUUUUUAUUGACUUAUAACUUACUGUUUAGCAGGCUCCUAUAUCCAAAAGUGCAUGUCAAGUAUUAUAUUACUUCUAGUCGUAAAUUUGUGAUGUUUUUUUAUUUCAAACUAAAGGUUGUGCUAUGAUGUGAACAAACUGUACAUGUAUGAUACGGAAAUACAAUACCUGGGACAUUUCAUGGUCAGAUCUAAACUGGUAGCAGGAAUUAGGGAUCAAAGAUGGUGGAUUUCAAUUCCAAUUUGAAAGUGAAAUAUGGACAAAUUCACUUUCAAAUUGCAUGCCUGGAGAAAAUUUUAUUUUAUCAACAUUCUAAAUUAAAACUCCUGCCAAAAGGUUCUACUAUGCAUUAGAAACUUUUCUCUGGCAUGACUUAAAUAUUUCUGUAAAGAAAACAAUACCUUGCUUCCCUUUAUGAAAAAAAUAUAAAAGAUAAAAUUAAUAAAAUAAAAUAAACAACAGAGUUCUGAGUGUAAACAUUCAGCAGGGCUGGACUGGGAAUUAUUCAUCCCUAAAUAUUUAUAAUGGACUUGCCCAGUCUCUGAUUUUGUCAGGUUCAAAUGUGACUUUAGGGGUGAAAGGGUUGAGUUAUUCAUAAAACGAAAUUAAGGGGAGGUAACUGUAGCAUGAAAUACCACAGUACAGUGGGACUGGGAUCCUUAAGUUGAAGACAGUUCCGUGACCACAGCACUUGAUGUUUUACCCCAUGGUUUGAUGAAAGCCUACAGUCAUCGUCAUAUUUCAUAUCGGUAUUUGAGAAAAGAGAUAUAAAGGAUAAAUUAUAGCAUUCUGAAUUUGGGAGUUUUAUUAUUUCAUUUGAAAUUUGAAAAUUCUCCUCUUUUUUUAGGUCACCUGAGCUUUGCUCAAGUGAUCUAUU